ACGACCUUACUUGAACAGGAUCAGUUCUAUAGGGCCGUACCUCUGUGUCCUUUAGCACAAAGGAGACAGGGUCACAAGUCUGGUUGAUGGAUCAUGACCUUGUGAUCAGAGCGUGAUUAACGGCUUCUCUGGUCUCUCCAAGAUCAGACGGUAGUAGAGGAUCGUUCUCAGCUAGUGCUCUGGCUGUUGAUGGUCACAAGGUUGUCUGACAGACU
This 215-nucleotide small nucleolar RNA is filed under the name Corchorus capsularis. RNAcentral describes it as "snoRNA Plant_U3". It matches the Rfam family "Plant small nucleolar RNA U3". From Rfam's summary of the family: Small nucleolar RNAs (snoRNAs) are involved in the processing and modification of rRNA in the nucleolus. Lineage: Eukaryota; Viridiplantae; Streptophyta; Magnoliopsida; Malvales; Malvaceae. The record is from Rfam by way of RNAcentral.